This 99-nucleotide transfer RNA is filed under the name Armillaria solidipes. RNAcentral's name for it is "tRNA-Ala". It matches the Rfam family "tRNA". From Rfam's summary of the family: Transfer RNA (tRNA) molecules are approximately 80 nucleotides in length. The record is from RNAcentral. Lineage: Eukaryota; Fungi; Basidiomycota; Agaricomycetes; Agaricales; Physalacriaceae.
GGGCACAUGGUGUAGUUGGUUUAUCACGCCCGCUUAGCAUAUGUUGCCGCGAGGAUUGUUUACUGCGGGAGGUGUUGGGUUCAAUUCCCAAUGUGUCCA